RNAcentral lists this ribosomal RNA (303 nucleotides) under Alexandrium margalefii. RNAcentral describes it as "partial Bacterial small subunit ribosomal RNA". It matches the Rfam family "Bacterial small subunit ribosomal RNA", at positions 271 to 571 of the family's 1533-position model. The record is from RNAcentral. Lineage: Eukaryota; Dinophyceae; Gonyaulacales; Pyrocystaceae.
AGACUACGAUAGGUAGGGGCCCUGAUAGGGGGAUCCCCCACACUGGUACUGAGACACGGACCAGACUCCUACGGGAGGCAGCAGUGAGGAAUAUUGGACAAUGGAGGAGACUCUGAUCCAGCCAUGCCGCGUGCAGGAAGAAUGCCCUAUGGGUAGUAAACUGCUUUUAUACGGGAAGAAAAAGGGGCACGUGUGCCCUGUUGACGGUACCGUAAGAAUAAGGACCGGCUAACUCCGUGCCAGCAGCCGCGGUAAUACGGAGGGUCCGAGCGUUAUCCGGAAUCAUUGGGUUUAAAGGGUCCG